RNAcentral lists this ribosomal RNA (442 nucleotides) under uncultured bacterium. RNAcentral describes it as "bacterial SSU rRNA". It matches the Rfam family "Bacterial small subunit ribosomal RNA", at positions 958 to 1398 of the family's 1533-position model. The record is from RNAcentral.
AACGCGAAGAACCUUACCUGGGCUCGAAAUGCAGGAGACCGGGGUAGAAAUAUCCUUUCCCCGCAAGGGGCUGCUGUAUAGGUGCUGCAUGGCUGUCGUCAGCUCGUGUCGUGAGAUGUUGGGUUAAGUCCCGCAACGAGCGCAACCCUCAUCCCUAGUUGCCACCGGGUAAUGCCGAGCACUCUAGUGAAACCGCCCCGGAUAACGGGGAGGAAGGUGGGGAUGACGUCAAGUCAGCACGGCCUUUAUGUCCAGGGCUACACACGUGCUACAAUGGUCGGUACAAACCGUCGCAAACCUGCGAAGGGGAGCUAAUCGGAAAAAGCCGGCCUCAGUUCGGAUUGGAGUCUGCAACUCGACUCCAUGAAGCCGGAAUCGCUAGUAAUCGCGGAUCAGCACGCCGCGGUGAAUACGUUCCCGGGCCUUGUACACACCGAGUAUA